CAGCCGCCACGGUAAUACGGAGGGAGCUAGCGUUGUUCGGAAUUACUGGGCGUAAAGCGCGCGUAGGCGGUUACUCAAGUCAGAGGUGAAAGCCCGGGGCUCAACCCCGGAACUGCCUUUGAAACUAGGUGACUAGAAUCUUGGAGAGGUCAGUGGAAUUCCGAGUGUAGAGGUGAAAUUCGUAGAUAUUCGGAAGAACACCAGUGGCGAAGGCGACUGACUGGACAAGUAUUGACGCUGAGGUGCGAAAGCGUGGGGAGCAAACAGGAUUAGAUACCGGGCAGUCCCUGUCUCUUAUACA
This 301-nucleotide ribosomal RNA is filed under the name uncultured bacterium. RNAcentral describes it as "partial 16S ribosomal RNA". It matches the Rfam family "Bacterial small subunit ribosomal RNA", at positions 509 to 808 of the family's 1533-position model. The record is from RNAcentral.